GGAUGAGCCCGCGGCCUAUCAGCUUGUUGGUGGGGUGAUGGCCUACCAAGGCGACGACGGGUAGCCGGCCUGAGAGGGUGACCGGCCACACUGGGACUGAGAUACGGCCCAGACUCCUACGGGAGGCAGCAGUGGGGAAUAUUGCACAAUGGGCGCAAGCCUGAUGCAGCGACGCCGCGUGAGGGAUGACGGCCUUCGGGUUGUAAACCUCUUUCAGUGCCGACGAAGCGGAAGUGACGGUAGGCACAGAAGAAGGACCGGCCAACUACGUGCCAGCAGCCGCGGUAAUACGUAGGGUCCGAGCGUUGUCCGGAAUUACUGGGCGUAAAGAGCUCGUAGGUGGUUUGUCGCGUUGUCCGUGAAAACUCACAGCUUAACUGUGGGCGUGCGGGCGAUACGGGCAGACUAGAGUACUGCAGGGGAGACUGGAAUUCCUGGUGUAGCGGUGGAAUGCGCAGAUAUCAGGAGGAACACCGGUGGCGAAGGCGGGUCUCUGGGCAGUAACUGACGCUGAGGAGCGAAAGCGUGGGGAGCGAACAGGAUUAGAUACCCUGGUAGUCCACGCCGUAAACGGUGGGUACUAGGUGUGGGUUCUUUCCUGAGGAUCCGUGCCAUAGCUAACGCAUUAAGUACCCCGCCUGGGGAGUACGGCCGCAAGGCUAAAACUCAAAGGAAUUGACGGGGGCCCGCACAAGCGG
RNAcentral lists this ribosomal RNA (698 nucleotides) under uncultured actinomycete. RNAcentral's name for it is "bacterial SSU rRNA". It matches the Rfam family "Bacterial small subunit ribosomal RNA", at positions 223 to 932 of the family's 1533-position model. The record is from RNAcentral. Lineage: Bacteria; Bacillati; Actinomycetota; Actinomycetes; Actinomycetales.